This 73-nucleotide transfer RNA is filed under the name Candidatus Berkelbacteria bacterium. Its description in RNAcentral is "tRNA-Ala". It matches the Rfam family "tRNA". From Rfam's summary of the family: Transfer RNA (tRNA) molecules are approximately 80 nucleotides in length. Their secondary structure includes four short double-helical elements and three loops (D, anti-codon, and T loops). Lineage: Bacteria; Candidatus Berkelbacteria. The record is from RNAcentral.
GGGCCCAUAGCUCAGUUGGUAGAGCGUCUGGCUGGCAGUCAGAAUGUCGUCGGUUCGAAUCCGUCUGGGUCCA